Molecule: ribosomal RNA, 305 nt
Filed under: uncultured bacterium
Lineage: Bacteria
Description: bacterial SSU rRNA
Rfam family: Bacterial small subunit ribosomal RNA
Source: RNAcentral
UCUCCUACGGGAGGCAGCAGUGAGGAAUAUUGGUCAAUGGGCGCGAGCCUGAACCAGCCAAGUAGCGUGAAGGAUGACUGCCCUACGGGUUGUAAACUUCUUUUAUAAAGGAAUAAAGUGAGGCACGUGUGCCCUUUUGUAUGUAUUUUAUGAAUAAGGAUCGGCUAACUCCGUGCCAGCAGCCGCGGUAAUACGGAGGAUGCGAGCGUUAUCCGGAUUUAUUGGGUUUAAAGGGUGCGCAGGCGGUCUGCUAAGUCAGCGGUCAAAGCCCGGGGCUCAACCCCGGCCCGCCGUUGAAACUGGCA